AGACCACUUCUCUGCACGAUGCUGCUGUAACUCUCUGCUAUUUCUUACCACCACAAUUAUUUUUUUUGGGGGGGGGGGGUGCCAGGAAUUGAAUUCAGGGCCCUCGACCACAGAGCCACAUCCCCAGCCCUAUUUUGUGUUUUAUUUAGAGACAGGGUCUCACUGAGUUGUUUACCGCCUCGAUGGAUUGCUGAGGCUGGCUUUGAACUCGCGAUCCUCCAUCCUCAGCCUCCCGAGCCUCUGGGAUCACAGGAGUGGCCACCUCACCAAGCUAAAAUCAUAGAUGAAGCUACGAUUAUCUCAGAAUAAAAGGCUGUAAGAGAAAGUCCGCAAUAUUUAAUUCCUUACUUAGCAUCGUGUAGCACAGUGUGGAAAGGGAAUCUUGAAUUUCCAGAGACCCCGGGAACGUCCUGUCUGUGUCCCUCAGCAGGACAGGCGAUGGUCAUGGUCCCCAUGCUGCUGGGCUGCAGCUUCAGGUUCCUCAGUUCAUUUCAAAGUAAAAGCACCUCGAGCUCAAGGCUCCAGGUCACAGGACUAUAGCUGGGGUUAUUCUGUGGUCCUCUCUGUAGGGUUGCCAUCACUCAGAGGUCUGAGCAAUGGCCCAUUCGGAGGGCUCUGUGUCCUCACCUGUCCAUGGCUCUGUCCAGACCACGGGAAAACUCCUGUUGACUGGGCGUGGUCCCCUGAUUGCUGUCCACAGCUGUAGGUACUCCUGGCUGUGUGGACAGUGUGGACAGCUGCCGGGGCCCUUGUGGCCUGGGUGGGACCAUCAGGGAAGGGAGGGGAAUGAAUGGGCAGAGGAGUUUCACUUGUGCCCUCUUCUCCCUCACCCUCCUGUCAUUGAUUCUGCAGGGUGUCCCCUGUCUCAAGGAUCCUGGGGCAUGCCCCUGUGGUCUCCUUGGCCCCAGCCUUCCUUCAUCCCCAGACUCCACCCAAGCUUGCUGCAGGUGGUUAGACACUCAGCAGCUGAGCCCCAGAGGUGCCCGCACAUUAGCUGCAUGAGUCUGGUUUCCUGGGCCUUGAUGGUGUGUUUCCUAUCUCUGUGCAGCCACGACCUUCUUUAGAACUACGGCGCGGCCCCUCAGCUGGCCUCCCUGAGUCCCUUUGGCUCUUUUCCAGUACAUUCUCCAUGGUCAGCCAGAGCGAUUUCUCUCAGGAACAGCUGAUCACAUCAUCCUCUUGCGCAGUGCUGUUCGCGGAUCCGGGUACUUCAGGAUAAACCUCAGUACGUCCCACAUGACCCCCUAACCUGGCUGUGCGUGCCUGCUGGCUGGUGGCCCUCCCUCCGGCUGUGUGCGAGAGGCACCUGGACACCGGGGAGCUCAGCUGCACUCAGGGGCCCCGUGGAGCAGCCACCAGCGCCUAGGAGCCCGGGGGUAUAGUGGAGUUGGGGUCCUUGCCAGCAUCCUGGGUUGUGGGAGUGCCCUGGCUUCCAGCUCUGCCGCCCGCCAAGGCGUCUGGGUGUGCUCUCUGCAGAACGGCACCACGGCCGGCUUUGGGGUGGACCUCCUGUGCUCACGCCUUUACCUUCUGACCCACCCAACCUGUCGUGACUUAGCAAGAACAAAUGUGGCCAGCACAAGGUCCCAGGCAACACCCACCAUCCUCCGUGAGCGCUCGGCUUGUCGGGGGACUCUCGAGCCUCCCCACUCCUCCGCGCCCUCCCGCUCCUCUCUGCCUGCGCGUGGGCAGUGCCCACCUGCAGCAGGUGCAGCAGGAAGCAGCAGGAAGUCGAAGCCGAUCAUUAAGCUUUUCUGGAGAGAGCUUCCUGGGAAGGUGGGAGGGGACACUGGGCAGAGCUGAGGACACACGGGAGAAGGCCAGAGCUGGGGUCCCACGUCCUGAGGAGGAGCCCAGGUGGGAGUCUGGGACCUCGGGACACCCUGCAGAGCCCACUGUAGGGGAGUCAGAACAGGCUUGAGAGACUCUAAAACCAGGUGGAGAGUGCAGCUCAGCACGUCCAGAGCACCGAGCGUGGAACUCAGCCAAGCCAGCCCCUCCCUUUACAACAGAGAGAACUGAGGUUCAGGGAGCAGCUGAGAACCCCCCUUCCCCCAUCAGGGAGAAGCACCCGGCCAGGACGGGGACCCACGGAAGCACUCGUACCGCGUGCCUGGAGCAGGCCACAUGCAAGAGGGUGCGUUUGUGGCUGCUGUGGCCUGCUUGCUCCCUAGACCCUGCCUCCAGGAGUGUGCAGUGCACCUACUGCACCACUGUACAGCCAGCACCGAGGCAGAGUUGGGGAGACCCAAGAGGUCCCUCAGACAGUGUGGCCCCCUCUCUUAGCUCCCAGUAUGUGGUGGAAUGAAGGCAGGAGCGGUAUCUGGAGCAAGGCCGCGGAUGUUAGGUCCACCUUUGGACACUGGAAUGUAGAAACUGGCAUUUGAAAAGGUAGGUAAGGCCUGACUCUGCCCUAGAGGAAACCGGGUCUGGGUGUGAAGAGGCAGAGAGGGGCAAGAUGAGGACCUGUGCUGGGCUGAGGGUUUCUGGGUGUCUGGUCAGGAGGAAGGAGGCCCUAUAACCUCCAUGUCUGCAGGUCAAGGCUCACUGAGCCUUCAGCCCAGGCCCAGGGAACCAGUGUCCUCCCUCGCUGGCUGCAGGCCACACAGAGCAUGAGUCGGGACAGAGUCCAGCAGGCCUUUGCCACACCCAGGCCCGCGCACUUCCCAAGGGAAUCAAGGACAGAGGGGACCCUGAACCUCAGUCCUGGCCAGCCCAGCCGUGCUGCACCACAGUGCCCUCUUCUGGCCAUCCAGGGAAGGUCGUCUCAGGCCCUGUGGCCAGAGGUGGGAGCACCCCAGGCUCUGGGUGGGCCCCGGGGAGGGAGCAGGUAGGUAUGGGCAGCACAGGACCCAGGCCAUGGGCUGGAGCUGACCUGGGUAGGCAGGGGGAGCGGGAGCUUCCAGCAGGUGGUCCUGACUGUGGCGGCAGCUCUGCAGUCAGUCUGCAGGAGGUGCUCUGCAGGGAAGGGGCGGAGGCCGGCCUCCACGGGGCGCCUCAGGAGCGGCUCUGCGCUGUCCUGGCCAGGGCCCUCUUUUUCUGACAAGGAAUCCUUUGAUGUCCAAUGGCUACUUCCCCACAGGUCGGAGCAGCCCGCCUGGGCCCAGGGUUCAGUCCUCUGCGCUUCCAGAAGCGGAUUUCACAGGGAUUAACUUCAGACGCGGCUCUGGUGCUUCUCUUUACUCUGGUAGCCCUGGCCUUGCGGGGAAUGUGGAGGAGGUAGAGAAACACAGGGGCAAAGCCAGAAAUUAUUCUCAAGCCACCCUCCCAGCAAAAUCCCAUCAGCGCUGGGGUGCGGCUCCUCCCCAAGCUCAGGCCUAGCUUGGGUGCCACUUUGCCCACAGUGUUCUCUUUUGCUGCUUAAUGCGACAUUACAGGAGUGUUAUGAAAUGUUUUAUGAACACUCCGUGUGUGUGUGUGUGUGUGUGUGUGUGGUGCUGGGGAGGGUCCCAGGGCACUGUGCAGGCCAGGCAAGUGCUCCACCACUGAGCCACACCUGAGUGGCUGUACACAGUCCAUCCUGUGGCUGGCCUGUCACAGUUAUGGUCUUUGCUGGACAUUUGGAGGUUUCUCAGCUCACUGUUGCAUGCUUGAUGGUCUGGAUCUGGAAGGUCUCUCGAGGGUCUGCAGGAUCCGCAGUAACGUCCCUCAGUACAGCUUUGAGGAGAUGGCUGGCUCUCGAGGUCUCUGACCUCAUGGGUGGGUGCAUCCAUUUGGUGAAUUAAUGAUUUGAAUGGAUUAUUGGGAGGCGGAGCCUGGUUAGAGGAAGCAAGUCCCUGGAGGUGUGCCCACGGAGGCCCACCUGGCCUGGGCACUGCCUCCUCCCUCCCUGCCCCUCUCUCUCAGCUGCUGUGAGCCAGCUGCGUCCUCCACACCACACCUCCCACCACGAGGUUCCACCUCACCUCAGGCCCGCAGCAAAGGAGCCAGGAGACCAUGGACUGACCCCCUGAAAUCAGGAGCCAAAAUGACCUUUUUGUCCUCUAAGUUGUUCUCGUCAGCUGCUGUGGUCACAGUGAUGCGAAGCUGACAACAUGACGCUCUUGGAAAGAGCCAGUGAGUGGAUCUUGGUCUCUGGGAUGGAGUCCCGGGAGGGCCAUCUGAGGUGGAAGGAGCCACAGUCCCAAGGUCCUGCCGGGUGGACGGGCAGCCGCAGCUUCACCUCCGCAGGUGUGAAUGUGCCAGUUCUCCUGCUGGACCUCCAACCGCUAGUGGGUGGGCACAGACCUUUUUUGGCAUUUGUUUGGCUGCCGAGGCAGUUGGACAUCGCCCGCAGGUUUGGCUGAAGACUCAAAGGGCCACGAGCGGCUCUUUCCUCUGCCCACAGAAGAGCGAUUCCAGAAAUAAGACCAGAGAGGGGGAAACUGGGCCAAAGAUCCCUUUGAUUCUUUAUAAAGAUGAAGGGGGAGGAUGCAGCCUCCGGGAGAGCCAGAUGGGGCUGUGAGUGAAUCAGGGAUUCAGCCGCACCCCCCUCCCAGUCCCAGCAGAGCUCCUUGGACUGACAGCCAGAUGGCCUGCCGGGCGGACUUUUCUGGAGGUGGACAUUGCCUGGACUUAGCAUGGAAAGCUGGGGGUGGGGGGGUGUCGGAGGUGUCACUCUAUAGCCAUCGUCUGGUCCCCUAAAGGAAAAAGGGGGCCUGAGCUGAGGAUCCGGUUAUUUUCUGAAAUGCCCCAGUCGGAGGACAAGGUGCCUCCCUGCUGCCUUCGCCAGUCGCCUGUGUUUCCUCCUAUUAAUGUUAAAUUCUUUCUAUGGGGAUUGACCAGCAACAGUGAUUCAUUAAAGGUCUCUUUAAAAAUCAUCUUUGCCUUUUCCUCUUGUUUACCAUGUUCUUGAAUUUUGGAAGUUUCGAUGGGAACUUAGCCAAGUUUACCAUUUUUAUGCCGUUUCCAUCCUGAGAAUCAGCACUAUGACAUCGUCUCCAGGUGUUUGAGUGAGUGGCUCGUGCCCCACGCUCUGGGGACACCUGCGUGUGCACUGUCAUGAGGUCCUCC
Molecule: long non-coding RNA, 4992 nt
Filed under: Marmota monax (woodchuck)
Lineage: Eukaryota; Metazoa; Chordata; Mammalia; Rodentia; Sciuridae
Source: RNAcentral